ACUGCUUUGCUCCGCUUUGCUGCAUCUCAGACUUGUAACAGGUAAGGAUAUCCUGGAAACUAAGCUGCAGUCGGCUGAUGCAAACCAAACCCAGGGGGGUCCCAAGAGCUUUCGGGUACGUAAACUGAAAAGGGGUGAUCUGUCUCAGCUUGAAAAUCUCCCAUGGCCAGGAGCCUAAGUACACAAGCUGCCUGCACUCGCGGGGUCCCGAGGAAGGGGAGGAUGAUGGGAGAAGAAGAGGAACUACAAGCCCCAGCAUGCAGUGCACACUCUGGCUCCUGGAAAGAGGGCCUCGGAGAGGUGCAGCCCAACCGCGGGCCGUCGAAGAGAUGCCGACGGCCGACCACAAUGUUCAGAAUGAGGAAGACAAGCGCGGCGCUGUGAAAAAGCCUUAAGUCCCGAUUCAUGACGUUUGCGGUUUCGCCGGGGGCCCUACUAUGCUGAGGAGUGGAAUUUCCGGACCACACUGGCCGGUCCUCGCCAGGCUCGGACCUCCACAGUCCCAGAGCCUCCUGCGUUUCCGUGGAAUGCCCGGGCCGGAUAUGAUGUCUCCGUAGAGAAAAAAGGAAGAGGCGGAGCGGGGCGCGGUGACGUCCUUCCAAGAUGGCGGAGAGAGCGUGAAGAAACUGUUCCCCUUUGGUUUGCUUUAGAACAAGGGUAAAAUUCCAUUCUGAUACCAAAAUGCAGUAUUCGCACCACUGUGAGCACCUUUUAGAGAGACUGAACAAACAGCGGGAAGCAGGUUUUCUUUGUGACUGCACUGUGGUGAUUGGGGAAUUCCAGUUUAAAGCUCAUAGGAAUGUGCUUGCCUCAUUUAGUGAGUAUUUUGGUGCAAUCUACAGAAGCACUUCUGAGAACAAUGUGUUCCUUGAUCAGAGUCAGGUGAAGGCUGAUGGAUUUCAGAAACUGUUGGAGUUCAUAUACACAGGAACUUUAAAUCUUGACAGUUGGAAUGUUAAAGAAAUUCACCAGGCUGCUGACUAUCUCAAGGUGGAAGAGGUGGUCACUAAAUGUAAAAUAAAGAUGGAAGAUUUUGCUUUUAUUGCUAAUCCUUCUUCUACAGAGAUAUCUAGUAUUACUGGAAACAUUGAAUUGAAUCAACAGACUUGUCUCCUUACUUUACGAGAUUAUAACAGUCGGGAAAAAUCAGAACUGUCUACAGAUUUAGUUCAGGCCAAUCCUAAACAAGGGGCUUUAGCAAAGAAGUCAUCUCAAACUAAAAAGAAGAAGAAGGCCUUCAACUCCCAGAAAACAGGACAGAAUAAAACAGUGCAAUAUCCCAGUGACAUUUUAGAGAACGCGUCUGUUGAAUUAUUCUUAGAUGCAAAUAAAGUAUCCACACCUGUAAUAGAUCAAGUUUCACAAAGAAAUGAUAAUUCAGAACUCGAGUUGACGUCAGUUGUGGAAAAUACUUUUCCAGCACAAGAUAUUGUGCAGACUGUUACAGUGAAACGGAAACGUGGAAAAUCACAACCCAACUGUGCUCUAAAGGAACACUCUAUGUCUAACAUAGCCAGUGUCAAGAAUUCUUACGAGCUGGAGAGCUCUGGGGAAGAGCUGGAUCAGAGGUAUUCCAAGGCCAAGCCAAUGUGUAACACAUGUGGGAAAAUGUUCUCAGAAGCCAGCAGCUUGAGAAGGCAUAUGAGAAUACAUAAAGGAGUUAAACCUUAUGUCUGCCACUUGUGUGGAAAGGCAUUUACCCAGUGUAACCAGCUGAAAACGCAUGUAAGAACUCAUACAGGUGAGAAGCCAUACAAAUGUGAAUUGUGUGAUAAAGGAUUUGCUCAGAAAUGCCAGCUGGUCUUCCAUAGUCGUAUGCAUCAUGGUGAGGAAAAACCUUAUAAAUGUGAUGUAUGCAAUUUACAGUUUGCAACUUCUAGCAAUCUCAAGAUUCAUGCAAGGAAGCAUAGUGGAGAGAAGCCAUAUGUCUGUGAUAGGUGCGGACAGAGAUUUGCUCAAGCCAGCACACUGACCUAUCAUGUUCGUAGGCAUACUGGAGAAAAGCCUUAUGUGUGUGAUACUUGUGGGAAGGCAUUUGCUGUCUCUAGUUCUCUUAUCACUCAUUCUCGAAAACAUACAGGUGAAAAACCAUACAUAUGUGGUAUUUGUGGGAAAAGUUUUAUUUCCUCAGGAGAGCUCAACAAACACUUUCGAUCCCAUACAGGAGAAAGGCCAUUUAUCUGCGAAUUAUGUGGAAAUUCUUACACAGAUAUUAAAAAUUUAAAGAAGCACAAAACAAAAGUCCAUUCCGGUGCAGAUAAAGUUCUGGAUUCUAGUAUAGAGGAUCAUCCCUUGAGUGAACAAGAUUCUAUACAAAAAAGUCCGUUAUCAGAAACAUUGGAUGUGAAACCUUCUGAUAUGACUUUACCACUAUCUCUUCCACUUGGAACUGAGGACCACCACAUCCUUCUGCCUGUCACAGAUAAUCAGUCUCCUACAUCAGAUACAUUGUUGAGAUCAACUGUGAAUGGGUAUUCAGAACCACAGUUGAUUUUUUUACAGCAGUUAUACUGACUUUGUGAGGAAUAUGGAAUUGCUAAGACGUCUCUGGUAGUAAACAUAAACAUCUCUGCACAGACUCAUCCUGAUAGCAACCAUCUGUCCUGUCCUGGGUGAUUCACAUUCAUCUCUGAAAGCAUGAGAAUGGAUUUGGUAAGGCAUUUAGGUCUUUUCUGGCUCAGUAACUCUAUAACAUUAAGUGAAAAUAAUGCCUGAACAGUUUAUUAGAUGUUCUUCCCCUUAUGUAACCACCACUACCCUCUGUGCCCACCCUUCAUUCCCCCCAGGGAGUAUAGGAACAUGGUGUUAGGUGCCAAAUACAAGGAAAUACCUGUAAACCUUCAAAACUCAUUAAAUAGUGGGUAGGGGUUACUGAUCUUAAGUGUUUAAUCUACUAAAGGAGUGGACAGAUGUGAUUUUUUUUUGAUAUGCUAAUUAAAAAAAAAAUAAAUACAGCUUGAAGAAUUCACAGUACUUUUAAGUGAAGGCUGGUAUUUUGACAACUAUGUAAAGUUGACCACCACCUUUAUUCCACCUCCUCCCUGUAGACCUUUAGAGAUAGAUGGUAGUUUCUUUUAGACUGUAGGACCUAAGCAUAAUUUAAAGUAACCUUUUAAAACUGUCCACAUGUCUUUUUUUCACACUUUGACGAGUAAAUCAUUCAGGUGAAGCAUCAUCUUGGCAUGUGUGAAUAAAUUUGUGAAUAUAGGUCUGUAAUCAAAGCAUCAUAGUGUUUGUUGCCUCCUCAUAGGAAUCUUAAUUUGAAAACAAGAUUGGCCAUAGACAACAGUAAUUUGCCAUCAAAUCAUUAAAAUCUUACUGGCAUCUUCUAAAAGAGAGUGAUCUUAAAAAGUUCACUGGCAUUACUGACUUGUUUAAAAAGCAUACAUUUAGGGACACUAGGUGGCUCAGUGCGUUAAGCCUCUGCCUUCGGAUCAGGUCAUGAUCCCGGGUUCUGGGAUUGAGCCCCACUUCGGGCUCUCUGCUUGGCAGGGAGCCUGCUUCCCUUCCUCUCUCUCUCUGCCUGCCUCUCUGCCUGCUUGUGAUCUCUGUCAAAUAAAUAAAUAAAAUCUUAAAAAAAAAAAAAAAAGCAUGCAUUUAUAUGUGUUUCUAUAUAUUUCCCUGUGUUUGCAAAAUUGUAUCAACAAUCAUUAUUAUCUAAAUAAGUUAUAUAAAAUACCUUUUCAACUCUGAACCGCCUGAAAUUCCCUUGGAUUCUGCCACCUGAGCCUUUUUUACCACUUCAUGACAACUGUCAGUUAGGAUACCUAUAAUGGCUUUUUCUUUUUAUGCUAUUUUACUACUUAAUGAUAUUUUGUUUUUAAAAGCAUAUUGGUUUAAUUCCUUGAUUCUUUUUUUUUUUUCUCCAUGGCUAAAAUUUUAGCCUCUACUCUUACCCCCCCCCCAGUCUUUUUUUUAUUUUUUAAUUGAUAUGUAGUUGACAUAGUAGUUUCAGAGUUACAACACAGUAAUCCAACAAUUAUAUACAUUACAGAGUGCUCACUAUGAUAAGUAUGAUUAUCAUCUGUCACUGUACCAUGUUACUAAAAUAUUAAUAUGUUCUCUGUGCUGUAGUUUUUCAUUUUCUUCACUUAUUUUAAUAAGUUUGGAAAUUUUUACUUCUUAAUCCCUUUCACCUAUUUUGUCUAAACUCUCAUCUCCCUCCCCUCUGGCAACCGCUAGUUUGUCUUCUUUGAAUCUGUUUUAACAUUUUAACAAUAUUACAUCUUCUAAUCCUUGAGCACAGGAUAUCUUUCCAUUUGUGUUGUCCUCAGUUUCAUUCAUCAGUUGUGUUUUUUUUUUUUUUAACUUUAUUAAUGUUUUUAAGAAAGCUCUACAUUCAGCAUGGUGCUCAAACUCACAACCCCAAGAUCAAGAGUCACAUGUUUUUCUGAGCUAAACAGGCAUCUCAGUAUUUUACUCUUUUUGAUACAGUUUUACAUAGGGUUGUUAAUUUCCCUUUCUGCUGUUUUGUUAUUAGUGUACAGGAAUGCAGCAGAUCUUUGUAUUUUGUAUCCUGCAACUUACUGAAUUCAUUUAUUCUAAUAAUUUUUUUGGUGGAGUCUUUAGAGUUUUCUAUAUAUAGCCUGUGUCUCUGCAAACAGUGAUGGUUUACUUCUUCCUUACCAAUUUGGGCACCUUUUAUUUUUCUUGUCUGAGUGCUAUACCUAGGACCUCUGGUACAAUAUUGAAUAAAAGUAGUGAAAGUUUGGACAUCCUUAUUUCUGACCUUAAGGGCAGAGCUUUCAGCUUUUUUACCAUUGUGAUGUUAGCUUUGGGCUUAUCAUAUAUGUCUUUCAUUAUGUUGAGGGAUGUUCCUUUUGUGCCCACUUUGAUAGUUUUUAUCAGUGGAUGUUCAAUUUUGUCAUUCUUUUUCUGCAUCUACUGCAGUGGUCAUAACACUUUUAUCCAUUUUGUAAAUGUAGAUCACAUCAGUGAUUUGCAGGUAUUAAACCGUCUUUGCAUCCCUGGAAUAAAUAUGACUUGAGUAUAGUGAAUGAUCCUUUUAAUGUAUUUUUGAAUUCUGUUCACUAAUACUUUGUUGAGUUUUAUGCUUUUAUGUUCAUCAAGGAUAAUUGGCCUAUAGAUUUGUUUGUUUGUUUUGUAGUUUGUUUUGGUAUCAAGGUAAUGCUGGCCUUGUAAAAUGAAUUUUGAAGAAUUUCUCCCUCUUCUGUUUUUUGGGAUAGCUUGAGGAUAGGUAUUAACUCUUCUUUAAAUGUCUGGUAGAGUUCAUCUGUGAAGCUCUCUGAUUCUAGCUUUAUUGGGAGUUUUUUAUUAUUGGUCCAAUUUUGUUACUAGUAAUUGGUCUGUCCAGAUUUUCUGUUUCCUCCUGACUCAGAAGAUUGUUUCUAGGAAUUAAUCUCUUUUGGGUUGUGCAUUUUGUUGGCUUUUAGUUUUUUUGUAAUUGUUUAUAAUUUUUUAUAUUUUUAUGGUGUCAGUUUUAACUCGUCUUUCAUUUCUGAUUUUGAGUUCUUGAUUAAAACUUCUGGCUGAAGUUUUACCAAUUUUGUUUAUCUUUUCAGAGAAACAGCUCUUGGUCUCAUUCAUCUUCUCUGUUGUUUUUUUAGUCUCUAUUUCAUUUAUUUGGGCUUUGUUGAUUCUUUUUUUUCUGGUUCCUUAGAUAUAAGGUUAGAUUGUUUAAAAUGUUCUUGUUUCUUGAAGUAGGCCUAUAUCAUUAUAAAUUUCCCUCUUGGAAAUACUUUUGCUGUGUGCUGAAGAUUUUGAACUGUAGUGUUUCCAUUUCUGUUUGUCUCCAAGUAUGUUUUGAUUUCCUCUUUGUUUCUUUGUUGAUCCAUUGGUUGCUUUAGUAAUCUGUUAUUUAGCUUCCAGUUAUUUUGUUUUUCAUUCAGUUUUCUUAUAAUUGAUCUCUUUCUAGUUUCAUACUCUUAUAGUGGUAAAAGAUGCUUGAUAGGAUUUCAUUGUUCUUAGACUUGUUUUAUGGUCUGCCCUGUGAUCUGUUCUGGAGAAUAUACCAUGUGCACUUGAAUAGACAUUCUGCUGUUUUGGGGUGGAAAAUUCUGUGUGUAUCUGUUAAGUCUACCUGGUCUAGUGUGACAUUCAAAGCCACGGUUUGAUUUACUGUCUGAGUGAUCUAUCCAUUGACGUAAGCAUGUGUUAAAGCCCCCUACUAUUACUGUGUUAUUGUCAAUUUCUCUCUUUAUGUCUGUUAAUAUUUGCUUUAUAUAUCUAUAUGGUGCUCCUAUGUUGGAUGCAUAGUAUUUGUAAUUAUUAUAUACUCUUAAUGAACUGAUCCUUUUAUCAUUAUUCAAUGACCUUGUCUCCUUACAGUCUUUUUUUUAAAGUCUAUUUUACCUAAUAAUUAGUAUUGGUAUCCCAUCCCCCCCCUCCGCUUCAUUUGCAUGGAAUAUCUUUUUCCAUCUCUUCUUUUUUUUUUUUUUUUUAGGAUUUUAUUUUUUCAUUUGAGAGAGAACAUGUACAAGCAGAGGGAAGGGAUGGUGGGAGAGGGAGAAGCAGACUCCCCGCUGAGCAGGGGGCCCAAUGUGGGGCUCUAUCCUAGGACCCUGGGAUCAUGAUCUGAGCUGAAGGCAGACACUUAAUCUACUGAGUCACCCAGGCACCCCUCCAUCCCUUCACUUUCAGUCUGUAUGCAUGUUUAGGGCUGAUGUCUCUUGUAGGCAGUAUAUAGAUGGGCCUUGCUAUUUUAUCCUUUCAGUCACCUUAUAUCUUUUCCUUGGAGCAUUUAGUCCAUUUACAUUUAUUCAUUCAUUUAUUUACUUAAGAUUUUAUUUAUUUAUUUGACAGUGAGCACAAGUAUGGGGAGCAGCAGGCAGAGGGAGAGGGAGAAAGCAGGGUCCUUACUGAGCAGAGAGCCUUGUGAGGGGUUGGAUCCCAGGACCCUGGGAUCAUGACCUGAGCCAAAGGCAGAUGCCUAAUGACUGAGCCAUCCAGUCAUUUAUUUUUUAAUUUUUUUUAAGAUUUUAUUUAUUUAUUUGACAGAGAAAUCACAAGUAGUCGGAAAGGCAGGCAGAGAGAGAGAGGGAAGCAGGCUCCCUGCUGAGCAGAGAGCCCGAUGGGGGGCUCGAUCCCAGGACCCUGAGAUCAUGACCUGAGCCGAAGGCAGCGGCUUAACCCACUGAACCACCCAGGCGCCCCCAUCCAGUCAUUUAAACAUCCAACAUUUAAAGUUAAUUAUUGAUAGGUAUGUACUUACUAGCAUUUUGUUGUUUACUGGUUGUUUCUGUAAUUCUCUCUUCCCUUGUGAUUGAUGGUUUUCUUUAGUGUCCUGCUUGAAUUCCUUUCUCUUCUUGUGUAUCUGUUAGAGGUUUUUGCUUUGUUGUUACCCUGGGGUUCAUAUAGAACACCCUGUGUAUAGCAGUCUAUUUUGAGAUCAUGGUCUCUUAAGUUCUCUAAGAGCACCUAAGUUUGAUUCCCCCCUCCAUGUUUUAAGUAUAUGAGGUCAUAUUUUACCUCUUUUUGUGUAUCCCUUGACUAGUUUUUAUAGAUAAAAUUGAUUUUACUACUUUUAUUUUAACCUCCUUACUAGGUUUCUAAGUGAUUGAUCUACUACCUUAACUAUAUGUUUGCUUUUACUGUGAAAUUUUCUCCUAAUUUUCUUCCACUGUGGCCUUUUCUUUCCACUUAGAUAAUCUCCUUUAACAUUUCUUGUAAAGCUAGUUUAGGGGUGAUGAACUCCUUUAACUUUUGUUUGUCUGGGACACACUCUUCCCUUCAAUUCUGAGUGAUAAUCUUGCUGGAUAAAGUAUUCUUGGUUGCAGAGGUUUUGUUUUGCUUUUUUCUUUCAGCGCUUUGAUGAUGCCAUGCCCUUCUGGUCUAUAGCGUCCUGCUGAAAAUGAGCUGAUAGCCUUAUGGGGUUUCCCAUGUAUAUAUGUAAUUGCUUUUCUCUUGCUUUUGGGACUUUCUCUUUAAUUUUUGUCAUUUUAAUUAUGUGUCUUGGUGUGGACCUCCCUGGGUUCAUUUUAAGACUCUUCUUGCCUCUUGCACCUAGAGGUCAGUUUCCUCCCCAGAUUAAGGAAGUUUUCAGCUGUUAUUUCUUCAAAUAAGCUUUCUGUCCCCCUUCUCUCAUCUCCUUCUGGGAUCCCAUAAUGCAAAUGUUCAUGUACUUGAUAAGUCACAGAGAUACUUUAACCUAUUCUCAUUUUUUAUUUUUACUGUUGAGCUUGAAUGUUUUCCAUUACCCUGUCUUCCAGAUCACUGAUUGAUUCUUCUGUAUCUUCUAAUCCACUGAUUUCCUCUAGCCCAUUUUUAAUUUUAGUUAUUACAUUCUUCACCUCUGACUAGUUCUGAGUUCAGCCACUCUUUUCUCAAGUCUGGUGAGUAUCUUUCUGACCAUUACCUUGAACUCUAUCAGGCAUAUUGCUGAUCUCUUUUUCUGUGGUUUUGCCUUCUUUCAUUUGGAACGUAUUCCUGUGUCUCCUCAUUAUGUGUUUCUGUGAAUUACAUAAGUCAGCUGCUUCUCUUGGUCUUGAAAGUAGUGGCCUUGUGUGGAACGUGUCCUGUAGUUACCUGUAACAUGGCCCUCUCUGGUCACCAGAAUUUAUUGAGGUUGAGCUAUGAUGGAUGCUGGCAUGCUGGUGGAUGAUGCUAGCCCUCUGCCCAACCGUCUACAGUGAUCAUCCUGUAGUGUUGAGGGCACACUGGUGGGCAGGGCUUGUCUGCUGCACAGCUGGCUAAUAAGCCUUAGUCAUCUCUACAUCAUGCAGACUGGGCCAGCACUCAGCCUGUCUGCGGUGGUCCACAUUGCCUGCUCUGGGCUCACUUGUAGGCAGUGCUGAUUUCCUGUGUGGGUGGCUGUGAGACCUGGUUGCAGCCCUUGUGGGCUUGCUGUCUGGAAUGAGAGUCUGUAACUGCUGCAGACACACUGAGGGGUAGGGCUCUAGAGGCAGCUGAGAAGCACAGCUACAGCAUCUGCAUGUGCACUGGUAUAUGGGGUUAGCUCCUCACUCCCUAGGGCAGGAAAUGUGCCUAUCACAGUGGGCAGGUUGGAAGGGCAGGGCACACAGUGCUAGCAAGGUAGGGGGAGAAUGUCAGAACUCGCUUCUACAAGUGUCUGACUGUCUAGGCUGGGAGAGGACAAGAAAAAUGGCACCUACCAGCACUUUCAAGCCUGGGGAAAGCUCCUGUUUAUCUCCUAUAGAUUCCUGCCCCUCCUGUACACAUCCUAAAACUAGUUGAUAAAUCUCUCUCAGAUGUACCCCAGGCACUUUUCAAACUGCUGCUUCUAUGCUCUGUCUUGGGCCAAGUUAUUUAAUGUGUUGACUUCUAAAGACUUGAUUUCUUGCAGCCCUCCAGCUCUUCUGGAGUUAAGCCACACUGAUUUUCAAAGCCAGACAUUAUGGAGACUGGUCUUACUAGUGCAAGUUCUCAGGGCCAAGGGUGUCCAUUGUGGGGUCGCUCCUUGCCUGUGAUGUCCCUCACCUUUAUGAGUAGUCACUCCAGGAGUUUCAUUACCAAUGGCAGAUGGCAGCUCUGUACCUCCUGCGCUUUUGAUGUGACCUUGCUACACCUAGCUGUGGAUGAUCUUCACCUAGCUGUAGAUGAUCUGUUCUGCCACCCGUCAGGUAGUUUUCAGAGUGAGUAGCAGUACAUGCAGCAGUUGCCACCAUGUGUGGCCGGGGUGGAGGGAGGCGGUGAAUUUAGGAUUCUCCUACUCUGCCAUCUUCCCUCUCCUGUAAAAUUUCUUUUAAAACAAUGAUACUGUUUUUCCACAGUGGACAGUUAUACAAAGUCAUUUUAAUAUAAUCAUUUUUUUUCAAAUGUAUAAAAGGUAAGAUGUUCUAAUUUAAGAAUUUAAUAGGCAAUAAAAUAUUAACAUAAGACAAGUAAUGUGAAAAUUUCAGAGCUUGUUUUUCAUAGAUGUCCACCUACUGGUACAAGAGCAAAACCUGCAUUAGGUGAGUUUGUGCAAGCUUCUCCAUAAAUUGGUCUCCAGUAGUAAUGCUUUUUAAGGCCAUUGGAGACUUCUGCAAGAUACAUAUGUCCAUCCACCACAAAUGGCUCCACAUCUGUAUUGUCUGGUUUUAGACGGCCCGUUUGAAUUAAGUCUGAAUAAGCCUAUGAUUUUUAAGAAAAGAGAGACCUGUCAUUAAGAAAAUUGUCUAAUUUCCAUAAAAUGAAUAAGCUAAUUGCAAUUUUCAGAUUAGCUGUGCUGAUUUUCAGUUUAAAAUAUUCUGAGUAAAUACUAAAUUUUAGUAUUUUUUACAUACAAUUUUUAUUCACUUAAUUUCACAUAAUUAUAAUUUUGAAAAAGUUACUUCUAAGUUUUGAAGUAUUUUGUUUUAUGGCUCCCAGAAUUAACAGUUCUCUGUAUUACAGAUUUUGUGGGCCAAAGGUCUCAUUGUCAAAAUUUUCAAGUCCUGCAGGGGUUUGUAAGUGAGGGAGGAAGGGGUUGUGUAUGCCUUGAAAAUUUGAUGAUAGCCAGGGACCCAUUUCACAGGAAAAUAUGCAACCAGAUUUUGGCAUAUGGCUGUAUGGAGUUCAUGAACUCCCUGAAGCUAAUUUAUAGAUUGAGGCUAAGACAAUUUCUGUAGUAUCAGAUGCUGACCUGGCUGUAGCCUAAUUCUGUCUUCACUGUAGAAUUUUCUUUGUAUAUCACUAAUGGAUCAUUGGUAUCUUUGUAAGGGUAUCAUACAAACAUGUUAAAAUGGUUGGUUAAUAAGAUUGUGAGUAUAGAGAAAGAUAUAUAGACAGUAAAAAAUUUAAAAUUUUAGCUGUUUUCUGCUUAGGCUUAUUAUUCCAAACUCAUUCUAGUGUGUAGAAUAUGAUCUUUUUCUGAAAUCAAGGGUUUAAAUAGUAUAUUUUAUUACUCUUUUUGGAGGUGGAAUUUUGGAUAGUCUUUUUGCAAAUUGAGAAUUUUAGCAUCUUCAUUCUUUCCAAAUAAAAACUAUUUGUUACAAUGC
Molecule: RNA transcript, 10877 nt
Organism: Mustela lutreola (European mink)
Lineage: Eukaryota; Metazoa; Chordata; Mammalia; Carnivora; Mustelidae
Gene: MYNN
Gene name: myoneurin
Exons: 9
Source: RefSeq, a predicted model, not a curated record